This 1285-nucleotide long non-coding RNA is filed under the name Nicotiana tabacum (common tobacco). Its description in RNAcentral is "long non-coding RNA (NTAB_LNC002350)". Lineage: Eukaryota; Viridiplantae; Streptophyta; Magnoliopsida; Solanales; Solanaceae. The record is from RNAcentral.
UUGUUCUUAUGUCUUGUGAUAAGCUCGACGCUGUGCCAUUUGAGCUGGCUAAUAUAUCUAACCUUCACGAGAUGCGGUUGGAAAACACAAGCAAAGCGGUCAAAUCUGCAACAGAUAUACUGGAAAGCAAGACAUCUAAAAGCAUCAAAUUCAUCCUUACCAUAUUCCCUCCUGAAGCUGGAUCCAAGCCCACGCAGUGAACUGAAAGGUCAGUCGAAUUUAUUUGUAUUGAUAGUCUUCGCUAAACUCUUGUCUGCACGACUAUAUUCUUUUUCAGCUGGCAUACAUUAUCCAUGAAAUUUCAUAGUUCCCCUUACUUUCUGAAUUACACUCUGCUCAUGAUUCGACCAAGAUUCAGAUUAGAAAAUACCCUUCGUUUUAUUCUAAUAUAAAUUAAUCUCUUUCAUAGUAUACGAGUAUAUGGGUUAUUGUGAAUGAUUAUUAAUAGUUUCUUCAAAACCUCUCUGCAACAGUUUUCUUUUCUUUGUUUCCCUUUUUUUCAUUUACUAAUUUUGCUCCUUUUUACAGGAGAGAAUGGAGACAUUGAGGUUGUUGGAAAUCUGGGAUCAUGGAUAUGGUGCGACUCAUGUUUUCUGAUAAGAUUGUACCAAUAAAGAAAGCCUUUUGUUUAUACAAGCAUUGUCAUUUUUGAAAUAAAUGACAUAUGUUUAAAUAAAUGCACCCCGCUCUCGGCUUGAAACAAACACCCUUCCUGGGAUUCUUGCAGUUCGAGUUACGCAUCAUGUGGAGUAUUUUCUUUCUCAGUUGUAAAACUACUGUUUGCAUGUUUCCAAUUCUGUUUCCGUUGUAUUUGGUUUGUUUCAUUUUUGUAAGACUGUUGCUUUCAUCUAUCAUUGUUCUGUUGAAAGACAAAUGUCAUUCCAUUCCAAGCAAAUAAAGUGUUGUGUGUUUUAUUACAAACUUGGAAUCUUUCAAGUUCAGAUUAUGCAUCCAUAGGUUGCCAAAAUGAGUUUAACUAUGUACUGAAAGUGUCAUAGAUUUUUUACAGUAUUAGAUUACCUAAAAGGUAAUUACAGGUAAUUUUUGCUCAUAAAAAGUAGGAUUAGUAACUUAAGAAAUAAGGCAUAUUACCUGCUUGGCUCAACAGAUGAAUGAAGUGCAAAAACACAUGACCACGUCAAAGAGCAUUCUAUUUGUUUAAGAAGCGAUGUCACCCUGAAUCCCCCCUGCAGAAAGGAGGAAAAUAAGAAAAAGAAGAAAGAGAUUUUUACACUCUGUCACCUGAUCCAAACUUACAAAUAAAAUGAGCCACGUUUUUCAGCCC